ACCUGGCUGGCUCAGUUGGAAGAGCAUGUGACUCUCAAUCUCAGGGUCGUGAGUUCAAGCCCCAUGUUGGGCA
RNAcentral lists this transfer RNA (73 nucleotides) under Ailuropoda melanoleuca (giant panda). It matches the Rfam family "tRNA". From Rfam's summary of the family: Transfer RNA (tRNA) molecules are approximately 80 nucleotides in length. Their secondary structure includes four short double-helical elements and three loops (D, anti-codon, and T loops). Lineage: Eukaryota; Metazoa; Chordata; Mammalia; Carnivora; Ursidae. The record is from Rfam by way of RNAcentral.